ACAAGCGGUGGAGCAUGUGGUUUAAUUCGAUGAUACGCGAGGAACCUUACCUGGGCUCAAAUGUAUGUUGACGUAUUCUGAAAGGGAUACUUCUUCGGACAAUAUACAAGGUGCUGCAUGGUUGUCGUCAGCUCGUGCCGUGAGGUGUCGGGUUAAGUCCCAUAACGAGCGCAACCCCUAUCAUUAGUUGCCAUCAGGUCAAGCUGGGGACUCUAAUGAAACUGCCUACGCAAGUAGUGAGGAAGGUGGGGAUGACGUCAAAUCAGCACGGCCCUUACGUCCAGGGCUACACACGUGCUACAAUGGCCGGCACAACGGGAAGCGAGUUCGCGAGGACGAGCGGAUCCCUCAAAGCCGGUCGCAGUUCGGAUUGAAGUCUGCAACUCGACUUCAUGAAGCUGGAAUCGCUAGUAAUCGUGGAUCAGCCAAGCCGCGGUGAAUACGUUCCCGGGCCUU
This 456-nucleotide ribosomal RNA is filed under the name uncultured Sphingobacteriales bacterium. Its description in RNAcentral is "bacterial SSU rRNA". It matches the Rfam family "Bacterial small subunit ribosomal RNA", at positions 925 to 1382 of the family's 1533-position model. Lineage: Bacteria; Pseudomonadati; Bacteroidota; Sphingobacteriia; Sphingobacteriales. The record is from RNAcentral.